AUGGGGGCGAUUAAGAUGUUGAUGUUUGAGGAAUCUCAUGGCGUGCUUGUGUGGAGGUUGCCAAAACUCAUGCUCACCAUUCUGGUUCAAACUGUCCUAUGGGCAGCUACUUGGAAACCAAGACCGAGGCCUCUCAUUCUCCUAUACGAUGUGAAGUGCGAUCCUAGAUGGACGGCCAUUGAUCUUUUUCUCACGUGGAUGUUCCAUUCUGAUCUCUCGUCUGUCCCCUGUCCACUCCAUAAUGGUGCUGAGGUUAUGUUCUACAAAUCACACUUGUUAAGGAGCACAAGAACCAGUUGA
Molecule: ribosomal RNA, 300 nt
Filed under: Triticum aestivum (bread wheat)
Lineage: Eukaryota; Viridiplantae; Streptophyta; Magnoliopsida; Poales; Poaceae
Description: partial small subunit ribosomal RNA
Source: RNAcentral